UACGGAGGGUGCAAGCGUUAUCCGGAAUUACUGGGCGUAAAGAGUGUGUAGGCGGUGCUCUAAGUUCGGUGUGAAAUCUCCCGGCUCAACUGGGAGGGUGCGCCGGAAACUGGAGUGCUGGAGCGCGGGAGAGGAAAGCGGAAUUCCUGGUGUAGCGGUGAAAUGCGUAGAUAUCAGGAGGAACACCUGCGGUGUAGACGGCUUUCUGGACCGUAGCUGACGCUGAGACACGAAAGCGUGGGUAGCAAACAGG
This 253-nucleotide ribosomal RNA is filed under the name uncultured bacterium. RNAcentral's name for it is "partial 16S ribosomal RNA". It matches the Rfam family "Bacterial small subunit ribosomal RNA", at positions 524 to 776 of the family's 1533-position model. The record is from RNAcentral.